ACAUGCUGACGUGAAAAAUCUUCUAUUAUAGGGGAAAUCUCUCACAUUUAGAACCCCUUUCAUGUCUGGCUUCUCUAUAAAUUAGUAUCUCAUCAACUUCUGGGAGGAGGCAGACCUUUUCAGCCUUAUAAUAUUGGCCUCCCGUUGCUGCUGAGGUGAAGAACCUCAUUAACAAGUUUCUCCGGUAAUUCUUUUGUAGUCUGGAAGUGUCUCAUGUGCAGUAUUGGUUGACAUCCAACAUCGGCAACUGAUUUUCCGCUGGGAGUUUGCAGUUUAAAUCGCUCAGCCUUGUAUGCUACAAUGGCAUUUUUCUCAUCUGGCAGGUGCUGGCAAACUUUUAUAAGGGAAUUAAGAGAGUUCAUCUUCA
Molecule: unclassified non-coding RNA, 367 nt
Filed under: Hevea brasiliensis (rubber tree)
Lineage: Eukaryota; Viridiplantae; Streptophyta; Magnoliopsida; Malpighiales; Euphorbiaceae
Source: RNAcentral